GGGAGCUGGCUCUCCUGGGGUGAGGGGAGGGUUCCUAAUAAUGCAAAUGCUGGCUGCGUGGCUGGCUUGUCUGCCUGUCCCCUCGAGCACCACAAUGUGGAGAUGGGACCAUGCGUCCAAGGGUCCCCUCACUGGGCUAUUAACAACAAAAACCGUGAUUGAAUUUCGAGGGUUUGACGGAGCACAGCCCCUUCUGUCUUGAGUCCUGAAGCCGUAGAAAAAUGAACACCAGGAAGGGCGCCUCAUUCUCAAUGGAAGACCCACUAGAUUGUGAGGCACCAGCAGAAAGUGACCAGUUAGAAAACACAGAUUUUUGAUGGGUUCUCUUGAACCCAUUUCAUCACAAGUACUGUCAUCAACUCCCACCCCUGGCUGGUUCUGUUGAUACAUCCUCCAUCACUCAUGCUGCGUACAGGCAUCCCCCAGCACCAAACAGGCCACAGGAGGAAAAACGUCUUGGGAAAUUCGGGGGAGAGGGAGAGUCUUGGAAGGACAAAUGAGGACCAGGUGGUAAUCUAUAGUUUCUGUCACAACUGGAAACCACAGUAAAAGUCACUGCUUCCUCCAGCCUACAACAAUAGGCACGCACGGGUACC
Molecule: long non-coding RNA, 596 nt
Filed under: Equus caballus (horse)
Lineage: Eukaryota; Metazoa; Chordata; Mammalia; Perissodactyla; Equidae
Description: lncRNA (ENSECAG00000054851.1)
Source: RNAcentral